UUACGAGGUCAGGACACUGUGAGGAUUGACAGAUUGAAAGCUCUUUCUUGAUUCAGUGGGUGGUGGUGCAUGGCCGUUCUUAGUUGGUGGAGUGAUUUGUCUGGUUAAUUCCGUUAACGAACGAGACCUUAACCUGCUAAAUAGUCACGCGAACCGGUCCGCAAGGGCUCAAAGUUCGCGGCUCGACUUCUUAGAGGGACUAUUCGCACCCGCCAGCGAAUGGAAGUUUGAGGCAAUAACAGGUCUGUGAUGCCCUUAGAUGUUCUCGGCCGCACGCGCGUUACACUGACGGAGUCAACGAGCGUUUUUCCUUGCCCGAUAGGGUUGGGUAACCUCCUGAAACUCCGUCGUGAUGGGGAUAGAUCAUUGCAAUUAUUGAUCUUAAACGAGGAAUUCCUAGUAGGCGCGAGUCAUCAACUCGCGCCGAUUACGUCCCUGCCCUUUGUACACACCGCCCGUCGCUCCUACCGAUUGAACGGUCCGGCGAGAACUCCGGAUGGUC
This 502-nucleotide ribosomal RNA is filed under the name Vermamoeba vermiformis. Its description in RNAcentral is "SSU rRNA". It matches the Rfam family "Eukaryotic small subunit ribosomal RNA", at positions 1215 to 1719 of the family's 1831-position model. The record is from RNAcentral. Lineage: Eukaryota; Tubulinea; Echinamoebida; Vermamoebidae.